GACGUAGGCAGCAAGCGUUGUUCGGAGUUACUGGGCGUAAAGAGUGCGUAGGCGGUUCCGUAAGUUUGUUGUGAAAUCUCCCGGCUUAACUGGGAGGGGGCGGCGAAAACUGCGGGGCUGGAGUGUGGGAGAGGUAGGCGGAAUUCCUGGUGUAGCGGUGAAAUGCGUAGAUAUCAGGAGGAACACCGGUGGUGUAGACGGCUUACUGGACCAUGACUGACGCUGAGGCACGAAAGCGUGGGGAGCAAACAGG
This 253-nucleotide ribosomal RNA is filed under the name uncultured prokaryote. Its description in RNAcentral is "partial 16S ribosomal RNA". It matches the Rfam family "Bacterial small subunit ribosomal RNA", at positions 524 to 776 of the family's 1533-position model. The record is from RNAcentral.